UUGGAUAGAAACAACCUCAGGGAGACAACGCAAGGUUGCCCUUCCUAUGGGGUCGUCACGCCGGCAACGGCCCCUUUCGCGGCCUCGCAACGCGGCCGCCAGUGGGAAAUACAGUCAAC
Molecule: regulatory RNA element, 119 nt
Rfam family: rmf RNA
Source: Rfam